RNAcentral lists this microRNA precursor (170 nucleotides) under Medicago truncatula (barrel medic). RNAcentral's name for it is "MIR2619 microRNA precursor family". It matches the Rfam family "MIR2619 microRNA precursor family". Lineage: Eukaryota; Viridiplantae; Streptophyta; Magnoliopsida; Fabales; Fabaceae. The record is from Rfam by way of RNAcentral.
AAACAGCCCUCUAUGUUUUGAUUCUUUGGCAGUUUUGGACCCCCAAGGCAAAAAAAUAAAAAAAAAUUGACACGUGGCACCUCACUUAGGGUGUCUCGUCAGCGUUGACCGAGUCAUCAAUGGACUGGGGGUCCAAAACUGUCAAAGAAUCAAAACAUAGGGGGCUGUUU